This is an unclassified non-coding RNA of Mesocricetus auratus (golden hamster), 142 nucleotides long. Its record names the gene Vault. It matches the Rfam family "Vault RNA". Rfam says of the family: This family of RNAs are found as part of the enigmatic vault ribonucleoprotein complex. The complex consists of a major vault protein (MVP), two minor vault proteins (VPARP and TEP1), and several small untranslated RNA molecules. The record is from Ensembl. NCBI's taxonomy places the organism in Eukaryota, Metazoa, Chordata, Mammalia, Rodentia, Cricetidae.
GGACUGGCUUUAGCUCAGCGGUUACUUCGACAGUGCUUUCUGCUUGUUACUUACACUCGUGGUGUGUUCAAGCUUCGCCGCCAGCCCUUGCAAAGCCUGCGAGUGGUCGGCUCGAGACCCGCGGGCGCUCUCCAGUCCUUUU